Molecule: ribosomal RNA, 484 nt
Filed under: uncultured bacterium
Lineage: Bacteria
Description: partial 16S ribosomal RNA
Rfam family: Bacterial small subunit ribosomal RNA
Source: RNAcentral
AUUGAACGCUGGCGGCAGGCCUAACACAUGCAAGUCGAGCGGAUGAAGGGAGCUUGCUCCUGGAUUCAGCGGCGGACGGGUGAGUAAUGCCUAGGAAUCUGCCUGGUAGUGGGGGAUAACGUCCGGAAACGGGCGCUAAUACCGCAUACGUCCUGAGGGAGAAAGUGGGGGAUCUUCGGACCUCACGCUAUCAGAUGAGCCUAGGUCGGAUUAGCUAGUUGGUGGGAUAAAGGCCUACCAAGGCGACGAUCCGUAACUGGUCUGAGAGGAUGAUCAGUCACACUGGAACUGAGACACGGUCCAGACUCCUACGGGAGGCAGCAGUGGGGAAUAUUGGACAAUGGGCGAAAGCCUGAUCCAGCCAUGCCGCGUGUGUGAAGAAGGUCUUCGGAUUGUAGAGCACUUUAAGUUGGGAGGAAGGGCAGUAAGUUAAUACCUUGCUGUUUUGACGUUACCAACAGAAUAAGCACCGGCUAACUUCGUG